This 379-nucleotide ribosomal RNA is filed under the name uncultured eukaryote. RNAcentral describes it as "partial 18S ribosomal RNA". It matches the Rfam family "Eukaryotic small subunit ribosomal RNA", at positions 592 to 976 of the family's 1831-position model. The record is from RNAcentral.
CAAUAGCGUAUAUUUAAGUUGUUGCAGUUAAAAAGCUCGUAGUUGGAUUUCGGAUGGGACUUGCCGGUCCGUCGUUUCGAUGUGCACUGGCCAGUCCUAUCUUGUUGUCGGGGACUAGCUCCUGGGCUUCACUGUCCGGGACUAGGAGCUGACGAGGUUACUUUGAGUAAAUUAGAGUGUUCAAAGCAAGCCUACGCUCUGAAUACAUUAGCAUGGAAUAACACGAUAGGACUCUGGCUUAUCUUGUUGGUCUGUGAGACCAGAGUAAUGAUUAAGAGGGACAGUCGGGGGCAUUCGUAUUUCAUUGUCAGAGGUGAAAUUCUUGGAUUUAUGAAAGACGAACUUCUGCGAAAGCAUUUGCCAAGGAUGUUUNCAUUGA